RNAcentral lists this ribosomal RNA (390 nucleotides) under Cryothecomonas sp. RNAcentral's name for it is "partial small subunit ribosomal RNA". It matches the Rfam family "Eukaryotic small subunit ribosomal RNA", at positions 582 to 975 of the family's 1831-position model. Lineage: Eukaryota; Cercozoa; Thecofilosea; Cryomonadida; Protaspidae. The record is from RNAcentral.
AUUCCAGCUCCAAGAGCGUAUAUUAAAGUUGUUGCAGUUAAAAAGCUCGUAGUUGGAUUUCUGGUACAACGCGCCUGGCCCGCUUAUGUGAGUGCCGGUGCGCGUUUGCCAUCCUUCUAGAAAACGUUUCUACCCGGGCAACUGGGCCGGACUCGCGAUCUAGAUCUUUUACUUUGAAAAAAUUAGAGUGUUUAAAGCAGGCUUUUGCUGUGAAUACAUUAGCAUGGAAUAAUAAUCUAGGACUUCGGUUCUAUUUUGUUGGUUUCUAGUACUGAAGUAAUGAUUGAUAGGGAUAGUUGGGGGUGCUAGUAUUGGCCGGCCAGAGGUGAAAUUCUUGGAUUCGGUCAAGACUAACUUAUGCGAAAGCAUUCACCAAGGAUGUCUUCAUCG